RNAcentral lists this ribosomal RNA (305 nucleotides) under uncultured bacterium. RNAcentral describes it as "bacterial SSU rRNA". It matches the Rfam family "Bacterial small subunit ribosomal RNA", at positions 333 to 636 of the family's 1533-position model. The record is from RNAcentral.
GUUUUCCUACGGGAGGCAGCAGUGAGGGAUAUUGGUCAAUGGGGGAAACCCUGAACCAGCAACGCCGCGUGAGGGAAGACGGCCCUACGGGUUGUAAACCUCUUUUGUCGGGGAGCAAAGCGAGUCACGUGUGACUCAUUGAGAGUACCCGAAGAAAAAGCAUCGGCUAACUCCGUGCCAGCAGCCGCGGUAAUACGGAGGAUGCGAGCGUUAUCCGGAUUUAUUGGGUUUAAAGGGUGCGCAGGCGGAGGUGCAAGUCAGCGGUCAAAUUGCGGGGCUCAACCCCGUACUGCCGUUGAAACUGC